UGGCGAACGGGUGAGUAACACGUGGGUAAUCUGCCCUGUACUCUGGGAUAAGCCUGGGAAACUGGGUCUAAUACUGGAUAUGACCUUUCUCCUUAUGGGGUUUGGUGGAAAGUUUUUCGGUGUAGGAUGAGCCCGCGGCCUAUCAGCUUGUUGGUGGGGUGAUGGCCUACCAAGGCGACGACGGGUAGCCGGCCUGAGAGGGUGAUCGGCCACAUUGGGACUGAGAUACGGCCCAG
RNAcentral lists this ribosomal RNA (236 nucleotides) under uncultured Actinomycetales bacterium. RNAcentral's name for it is "partial 16S ribosomal RNA". It matches the Rfam family "Bacterial small subunit ribosomal RNA", at positions 96 to 334 of the family's 1533-position model. Lineage: Bacteria; Bacillati; Actinomycetota; Actinomycetes; Actinomycetales. The record is from RNAcentral.